This is a long non-coding RNA of Uloborus diversus, 383 nucleotides long. RefSeq lists it as uncharacterized. NCBI's taxonomy places the organism in Eukaryota, Metazoa, Arthropoda, Arachnida, Araneae, Uloboridae. The transcript has 3 exons. The record is from RefSeq and is a predicted model, not a curated record.
GAUUACUUUGAUUGUUGCUGUGCUUCAGAAGCUCCCGCUGUGGACGAAGAUGGCGGCCAGAAGGUGAUCAGGAACGAAAGGGAAGGGGUGACCUACAGCUACUGCUUCUUCCACAUCCUCUUCUGCUUCGCCAAUACCUACAUCAUGAUGCAGUUGCUCGAUUGGCAGCUUCUCUACACCAGCCACAAGGAGAUCACGAAUGUUUACCGUGUGUCGAUAGCUUUCGUCGUGAAAAUGAUUUGCACUUACUCCGUUAUUUUCGUCUACUUCUGUACCCUGAUGUGUACCGGUAAGUGCUGCGGAUUUCUGAAUCGGACCAGGCAGGUGGUACAGCGUGAUGGGAGACUGGACACUGUUUAGCCACAACCCCGGUUUUAUCACCG